Molecule: long non-coding RNA, 3441 nt
Organism: Lutra lutra (Eurasian river otter)
Lineage: Eukaryota; Metazoa; Chordata; Mammalia; Carnivora; Mustelidae
Exons: 4
Source: RefSeq, a predicted model, not a curated record
GGAAGGGGAGCAGGCUCCCUGCUGAGCAGAGAGCCCGAUGUGGGGCUCGAUCCCAGGACCCAGGGAUCAUGACCUGAGCCGAAGGCAGAGGCUUUAACCCGCUGAGCCACCCAGGCACCCCGUCUCACUCUUUUUGAUACCCCACAACAGACAGGAUCUAAGGUGCCUGUGCCCCCAUUGGAGCCUCAAGUCUGUCUCUGCACCCAUAUCCAGGGACAUGAACAAGAACGGAGGGAGUCUGAUUUAACUUAGAGCACUCUAACUCAGGUCAGUGUUUGGGGGGGAGGAUUUCCAUCCUGGGACAAAGAGUAUCCCCCAUCCCGUUUUUUUUUUGCCAGCGUGCUAGUUUAAAAACAAUAAUAGUAAUCCCUGGCAAGAAAGAAUUCCCGAACAUGGAGAGGGUGAAAACAAUGAAUAAGGAGAUGAUUUUCCAUUUCUGGACCCUGAGGGAGUUUUGUUUUUGUUUUUGUUUUUGUUUUUUAAUUUAUUUUGAGGGGAUCAAGAUACUCUGAACUUUAGGGAGUGCUGUAAUUUACUGGAGAGGGGACACAAAACUCGGGGCCCCAAGCAAUUGGUGGGAAACCAGAUCUCAACGCAGAAAAUGAAAAGUCGAUCUGGGGGAAGAUUUUUAAAUAAAUGGGUCAGAGGAACGGAGAGGAGAUGAGGCGAUCAAUCUUAGCCCCCUGACAGCUCCCUCCGAUGGCAUCAAAGAAUUUGGCUCUUUGGGAAAGCAGAGGGAGCAGCCGAAAUUUCACAUCCCUUUAAAAGGCCUGGGGGUGGGGGGGAUAGCAAAAGAGAAAGGUGAUUCUGGGAGAGCGGAGAAACAGAUGGGAAAUGGGGACAGAGGAAAGGACACUGAGUUGGGUGGAAAGUUUGUCUGGAGAACUCCCACGGCUCGGGCCUCCCCUCCCCCUCCUCCUCUCCGCUGCCCGGCAAGGAGGAGAAGGCUGGUUAGCAGAGAAAUGGCAACUCAGCCGGGAGCUGGAACUAGAAACUUUCUGUCAAUGUAACAGCCGCGUGGGUGGCGACCCAAUGGUGGUUGGGCUCCGGGUCACGUGAUGACUUCUUUGUAGCUCCGGAAGAGAACUGUGAAGUUUAGGUUGCUUGGAAGAAGCAGUAAACGGCCAGAUUUUGUUAUUGUUGUUGUUGUUGUGUAAGGGGUGGCCAGGAAGUUGUGGCCAAAGGAGCAAGAAGACAAAAGGUCAAUGAGAAAAACUGAGAAGCAAGAGAAUUGGAAGGGGGAAAAAAAUCAAGAUUUGGAGAAAUUAACCACCGAGAUGGAAGGUAAGUUGGUUGGUUGGUGAUGGCCUAGCCAUCUUGUCUGUUUUUGUUUGUUUUAAUGUGCUUCUCUACCUUGCUUCCCUAUCUCCUCUUCCUCCACCCCACUCGGAGCGUAGAAUCCCAACUGGGUAUUGCUGGAGGCCUAGGGUUGAUGGGGUCAUCUCAUCUCCACAACCCGCUGUGGAGUGCUCUCCGACGGGUUGGCAGGCAGAUGGAACAGGGACUGGAAAACCUUAAAAUGUAACUUCUCAGGCCAGGGGAAGGGAAAGGAGCUGCAGGCCUGGCCUUCCCAGGAAGCGUGGCUAUCACCUCCUGGCUUUCUCCGUCAGACCUCCAGGCUGCCCUCCCGGAGCCCGGCGGCCCGGCGCCCAUUCUGGCUGUCAUUUACCCCAUGGCCUCUCCCCUCCGCCCUCCCUCUCCCAUCACAGGUGUGUUAAUUUGGGCGCUUCUUGGAUUCUACCCUGAGGAGGAGGCGCAUGGUGAGAGGAGAGGUCUGUGUAGGUAGGGUGGGGGUCGCAGGGUCCGUGGUGCUGGUUGGGGGCCAUAGGGGGCGCCCCAUUGUAGUCCAGGUUCCCCGAGGGGUGGUGGGAAAGGUGGUUGAGGCCGUAGAGGGAGGGGCCGGCAGGGGGCGGCAGCGGAUCCGCGUAGCCGCCCCCGCCCACGUACACCGGGCUGCCCUGCAUGGUGGGCGUCCCGUAGGCGCCCCCAUUGGCUUGGAGGACAUGAGGCUCGUAAUCCGGCGCCGGGGUCGGGGGGUACUUCUGCGGGGCGCCGCAGCCUUUGAGAGGGGGCUGGUAGUUGGAGGGCAGCGCGUAGGCAUUCUGGUGGGCUUUGCCGAAGGCGGGUGGGGACGGGCUCUCGUAGCUGGGGGUCAUGGAGUGUAAGGCGUUCAUGAAGCCGGCCGUGGACUGCAUGGGCUGCGGGGGGCUGCCGGCGGGGGAGGGGCCCCCGGACGACGAGGCCAGGCCCUUGGCCUUCUGGUCCUUCUUGUACUUCAUGCGCCGGUUCUGGAACCAGAUCUUGAUCUGCCGCUCGCUGAGGUUCAGCAGGUUGGCCAUCUCCACGCGGCGCGGCCGGCACAGGUAGCGGUUGAAGUGGAACUCCUUCUCCAGCUCCACCAGCUGCGCGCUCGUGUACGCCGUCCGCGCGCGCUUGGACGCCGCCGACCCCGGGGGGCUCUUGUCCCCUCCCCCGCCGCCGCCGCCGCCGCCCCCGCCGCCGCCACUGCUGCCGCCGCCGCCGCCGCCGCAGCCCUCCGCUGGAUCCGAGGGGGAGGGGUGGGAAGGGACAAAAUGAAAUAAAAGAUAAUUACUGAACACGCCGAAAUUGAAUGCAUGGUUUCUUAAUAAAUCCAGGCCUGGACUCGGAGCCCCCGCCGCCCUCCCCUUCUCGUCCCCGCCUCCUCCUCACCACUACCCCCCCAACGCCCGUCGCAUUAGCGGACACUCUAUAAUAGUGGCAUUUAUUAAGAGACCUGUUCUCCUCUUGCUGCCCCAGCUUAUGAAAAUUUGAUCAUGUCACGCAGACAGAGCCGCAUGGCCAUUUAUUUAGAGCUGGAUUUUCGCGCGCACGCUUUCUCCCCCCAUCCCCAAUUCCAGGUUCUGGGAAGACCCCCCAUCUCCCACCCUCCCACCCCUACACUUCCUGCUGGGUCCUAUGGACAAGGGGGGCGGCCAAGGAGAACCCCUGGGGGAAUCUGGACACUCGGGGGGCAGGGCGCGGAAGCGCGGCUCGAAGAGGCUGCUUUGCCUGGGGGCCGGCACCCCAGGCCGCCGGAGCGCUUGUGAUUAAUACCCACAGUAAUCAUACUUAAUAAUAAUCAAUCGUUGACGACUCUGCGUCUGCUGGCGGGUCUCGUGGCUCUGCGGCCUUGCGAAGGGCUGCGGCCGCGCGAACACCUGGCCUUCUAGAGCGCUCGGCAGCUCAGGUGGAGGGCGGCUGGCGGGAGAGGGUGCUGGCGGGGUCAGAGGUCGUCAGGGGGAGGAGGGUGGGUACGGGCAAAGCGCCGCAGCCGCCGAGACUUAUAUUGUUCCCAGGCCGCCGCCCGGGCGCCUAGGGGCUGGGUGCUAGAAUAACAGUGACAUUCCUGGCCCGGACAAAAGCUGACGACGAGGAAGGCAGAGAGCUGGUCUCUCACCCAAGCAGAGUCUAUCCUGGAGG